This 837-nucleotide ribosomal RNA is filed under the name uncultured bacterium. RNAcentral's name for it is "SSU rRNA". It matches the Rfam family "Bacterial small subunit ribosomal RNA", at positions 56 to 873 of the family's 1533-position model. The record is from RNAcentral.
UGCAGUCGAACGUGAAAGGGAGCAAUCCUGAGUAAAGUGGCGUACGGGUGAGUAACACGUAGGUAAUCUACCCUAGAAUCCGGAAUAACCUGCCGAAAGGCGGGCUAAUACUGGAUAGAGCGACGGAAUCCGUAAUUGGGUUUUUCGGGAAAGGGAGCUCGCAAGAGCCCUCGUUUUAGGAUGAGCCUGCGUCCCAUUAGCUAGUUGGCGGGGUAAUGGCCCACCAAGGCAGUGAUGGGUAGCUGGUCUGAGAGGAUGAUCAGCCACACUGGAACUGAAACACGGUCCAGACUCCUACGGGAGGCAGCAGUGGGGAAUCUUGCGCAAUGGACGAAAGUCUGACGCAGCCACGCCGCGUGAGUGAAGAAGGCCUUCGGGUCGUAAAGCUCUGUCGGAUGGGACGAACAUCUAGUCGGUGAAUAGCCGAUUGGACUGACGGUACCGUCAAAGGAAGCACCGGCUAACUCCGUGCCAGCAGCCGCGGUAAUACGGAGGGUGCAAGCGUUGCUCGGAAUUAUUGGGCGUAAAGGGCAGGUAGGUGGUCUCAUUUGUCUAGGGUGAAAUCCUUGAGCUCAACUCAAGAACUGCCCUAGAAACGGUGAGACUAGAGUCUUGGAGAGGGUCGUGGAAUUCCCGGUGUAGCGGUGAAAUGCGUAGAGAUCGGGAGGAACACCAGAGGCGAAGGCGGCGACCUGGACAAGCACUGACGCUCAUGCACGAAAGCGUGGGGAGCAAACAGGAUUAGAUACCCUGGUAGUCCACGCCCUAAACGAUGUCAACUAGGUGUUGGGGAAGGAGACUUCUUUAGUACCGCAGCUAACGCGUGAAGUGACCGCC